AUCCAAAAUCACUCGAACCAAGCCCUAAAUUCAGUCCAAAUUCGGGCGAGUGAAUCCCAAAUCUCACCUCACACGUUCCCCCUCUCUCCUUAUCACCAUUUCUAACGAUUUCUAACACCAAAGAUUCCCCUCUCCUCUCACUCGCUCGAAUUCGAGUUUUAUCGCACGAUUGAAAGGCUCUGGAGACGAGAUGCUGGAUGAGUGUGAGGCGUUGGAUUGAUUUCACUCAAUCCGAGCCCCAUAUUCAUCAAGGAUUGGUCUUCAAAAGAAGCCUUAUCCGAUUUUGUGAGGGGGAGACUCAAAAAGAAUUUUCUGAAAAAAGGGUUAAAAAGCUUAUUGAACUGAUGGUUUUCGGGGUUGAUAUUCUUCUUUGAAGGGUCCUUUCAAGGUUUAAGAGAAGUAUAGGUACAAAUUUUUCUAUUAUCCUGAAUCCGGAUUUGAGUUUCAAGGAGAUAAAAAUUGAAGUUUAGGCUUGGAUUUCUAUGGUUGUUCUGUUGAUUUGCUGCUGAACUUCGCUAGUAUUCGAAGGCAAAAGGUGUAUUAUUAAGGCUGUAAUUGUUAAAAGAAGUUCGUAACUUCAGCAUGCCAGUUCACUUCUUUUAAUUGGAGUAGGCGUACAUCUGUCAUUUUGAUUCCAUGGAAUUGUGGUCUUACUUGGGAAAUAUUAUGAAAAAUGGGAAUGUAAUUGAAAUUGUUUGUUUGUCAUCUCAUUGGAGCAACACUGCCAUGAUUAGUACUCCAAAGAAGGAAAUCGAAAGUUGCUCAAUACUGUCUUGUGGAGAAAACGAAAUUUUGGUCAAAACUGAUCACUGAAGCAACUGGGAAAAUUGUGAGUCUCUAGGCCAUCUCUGGCUGACUAAAAGAGAUGUAUUAAGAUGGAGUUAUUAUCUGUUUUGGUCUUAUAGCUUUACCUCAUUUUAAGUUAUUAUAGUUUCAGAAGUUUUAUUUAUCUAGAUAGAGUUGGAUAACGCCUAGUGUAUCACCCUAAGCAUGUGUGUAAUUAAUAGCCUUAUUGAAACAUCAAAUUAGUUUUAAAUAUGAACUUCUUUAGCUUGA
This is a long non-coding RNA of Nicotiana tabacum (common tobacco), 1056 nucleotides long. RefSeq lists it as uncharacterized. NCBI's taxonomy places the organism in Eukaryota, Viridiplantae, Streptophyta, Magnoliopsida, Solanales, Solanaceae. The record is from RefSeq and is a predicted model, not a curated record.